This 1306-nucleotide ribosomal RNA is filed under the name uncultured bacterium. RNAcentral describes it as "bacterial SSU rRNA". It matches the Rfam family "Bacterial small subunit ribosomal RNA", at positions 28 to 1381 of the family's 1533-position model. The record is from RNAcentral.
AACGUACGCUGGCGGCACGCCUAACACAUGCAAGUCGAACGAAGUAGCAAUACUUAGUGGCAGACGGGUGAGUAACAUGUAGGUAUCUGCCCUUUGGCCUGGAAUAACACGAGGAAACUUGUGCUAAUACCGGAUAAGUCUUUACAGAGAAAGCUUUAUGCACCAUUGGAUGAGCCUGCACUUGAUUAGUUUGUUGGUGGGGUAAUGGCCUACCAAGACUGUGAUCAAUAGCUGAUUUGAGAGGAUGAUCAGCCACAUUGGGACUGAGACACGGCCCAAACUCCUACGGGAGGCAGCAGUGGGGAAUCUUGCACAAUGGAGGAAACUCUGAUGCAGCGAUGCCGCGUGAGUGAAGAAGGCCCUUGGGUUGUAAAGCUCUUUCGUCGGGGAAGAAAAUGACUGUACCCGAAUAAGAAGGUCCGGCUAACUUCGUGCCAGCAGCCGCGGUAAUACGAAGGGACCUAGCGUAGUUCGGAAUUACUGGGCUUAAAGAGUUCGUAGGUGGUUGAAAAAGUUAGUGGUGAAAUCCCAGAGCUUAACUCUGGAACUGCCAUUAAAACUUUUCAGCUAGAGCAUGAUAGAGGAAAGCAGAAUUUCUAGUGUAGAGGUGAAAUUCGUAGAUAUUAGAAAGAAUACCAAUUGCGAAGGCAGCUUUCUGGAUCAUUACUGACACUGAGGAACGAAAGCAUGGGUAGCGAAGAGGAUUAGAUACCCUCGUAGUCCAUGCCGUAAACGAUGUGUGUUAGACGUUGGAAAUUUAUUUUCAGUGUCGCAGGGAAACCGAUAAACACACCGCCUGGGGAGUACGACCGCAAGGUUAAAACUCAAAUGAAUUGACGGGGACCCGCACAAGUAGUGGAGCAUGUGGUUUAAUUCGAAGAUACGCGCAGAACCUUACCAACACUUGACAUGUUCGUCGCGACUCUAAGAGAUUAGAGUUUUCGGUUCGGCCGGACGAAACACAGGUGCUGCAUGGCUGUCGUCAGCUCGUGUCGUGAGAUGUUGGGUUAAGUCCCGCAACGAGCGCAACCCUCACUUUUAGUUGCCAUCAUUAAGUUGGGCACUCUGAAAGAACUGCCAGUGAUAAGCUGGAGGAAGGUGGGGAUGACGUCAAGUCCUCAUGGCCCUUACGUGUUGGGCUACACACGUGCUACAAUGGUAUCUACAACAGGAAGCAAAACUGCGAAGUUAAGCAAAUCCCUAAAAGAUACCUCAGUUCGGAUUGCACUCUGCAACUCGAGUGCAUGAAGCUGGAAUUACUAGUAAUCGUGGAUCAGCGUGCCACGGUGAAUGCGUUCCCGGGUCU